Molecule: long non-coding RNA, 527 nt
Organism: Exaiptasia diaphana
Lineage: Eukaryota; Metazoa; Cnidaria; Anthozoa; Actiniaria; Aiptasiidae
Exons: 3
Source: RefSeq, a predicted model, not a curated record
UCUUUCAUCAUUUAUUCAUUAAUUUAUUUUCAUGUAUAGACUGGCUUUGUGGCAGUGGCAUACACUACGCCAUCCGAAUAUCAUAUCGGAAAAAUUAUGGAGGAAAAGAGCGACAAGUCAAUAGGCAUCUCUUUUUUACAAAAGAUGAAAGAUGGAACAGGCUAUAAAUGGCCUAACAAACCUGUCAUUGAAUAUGACAUUUACGAACAUCAGAUCUUUGUGAGGAAUCUAUAAGUUUAAAGACGACCAGUUAGAAGAACAAUACGAGAGGUGCAUUGAAAAACUUUCUCGACUUGAGCGAAAAACGAAGAUCGAGGCAGUAUGGGAUGACAUCGAGGCGCCAUACCGAAAAGUGGGACGGGUGUGCUGGAAAGAUUUCAAGACUUUGCAGCUUGACAUACCUCCAGUACACGAGACCCUAAUGAAGAUGCAGCUGAUGGUUAGCACAGACUGGGAAAAAGGGUACCUGAAUGAUGAGGUUAUUGAUGAAUAUAUAGCGCUCCUGGAAAAAAAGGCAAAAAAGGAGG